UACAGCCAUAUCACGUUGAAACAGCGGUUCUCUUACGAUCAUCACAGUUAAGCAUCAUCGAGCCUGGUCAGUACCUUAAUGGGUAACCGCUUGUGUAUACUAUGUGCCGUAA
Molecule: non-coding RNA, 112 nt
Organism: Acanthosepion pharaonis
Lineage: Eukaryota; Metazoa; Mollusca; Cephalopoda; Sepiida; Sepiidae
Source: the annotation of a GenBank genome assembly